RNAcentral lists this ribosomal RNA (429 nucleotides) under Acidobacteriota bacterium. RNAcentral's name for it is "Acidobacteria bacterium partial 16S ribosomal RNA". It matches the Rfam family "Bacterial small subunit ribosomal RNA", at positions 355 to 776 of the family's 1533-position model. The record is from RNAcentral. Lineage: Bacteria; Pseudomonadati; Acidobacteriota.
UGGGGAAUAUUGGACAAUGGGCGAAAGCCUGAUCCAGCCAUGCCGCGUGUGUGAAGAAGGUCUUCGGAUUGUAAAGCACUUUAAGUUGGGAGGAAGGGCAGUAAGCGAAUACCUUGCUGUUUUGACGUUACCGACAGAAUAAGCACCGGCUAACUCUGUGCCAGCAGCCGCGGUAAUACAGAGGGUGCAAGCGUUAAUCGGAAUUACUGGGCGUAAAGCGCGCGUAGGUGGUUCGUUAAGUUGGAUGUGAAAGCCCCGGGCUCAACCUGGGAACUGCAUCCAAAACUGGCGAGCUAGAGUAGGGCAGAGGGUGGUGGAAUUUGCUGUGUAGCGGUGAAAUGCGUAGAUAUAGGAAGGAACACCAGUGGCGAAGGCGACCACCUGGGCUCAUACUGACACUGAGGUGCGAAAGCGUGGGGAGCAAACAGG